UGGAAACAUGGCUCCAUAGGCCAUUGGGUCUUCUCUCCCGCCCUGGAAAAAAAAACAUUCGUCAAAGAUGCCAUCAUCACAUGCUAUUAACUAUACCAUGCAGCUAUACCUGGUCACAUUCACCAAGGAUCUCUAAAAAACUGGUGGAGAAUAGGAAGUUGGCUGAUUGAUAGCUUUGUGUAAGCUCAUUUCUCACUAAACUGGCUUUGAAACAUAAUGAAGAGGAUUCUGCACUUAUCUGGGUGGAUCUCGGCAUGAUUUCCGUAAAAGGGAGAUAACAGGGCAGAAGCAAGACUUGAGGCAAAGAGUGGACCCAAUUGAUUCAGGUGUGGAUCAUUAUAGGUUCAAAGAAUGCCAAUGUGUUAGACUGAUAGUGAAUGACUGAGGCUCAUCCCAACGUCAGUAUCAUAUAAA
Molecule: long non-coding RNA, 414 nt
Filed under: Homo sapiens (human)
Lineage: Eukaryota; Metazoa; Chordata; Mammalia; Primates; Hominidae
Description: HSALNT0073413
Source: RNAcentral